Molecule: long non-coding RNA, 3123 nt
Filed under: Oryctolagus cuniculus (rabbit)
Lineage: Eukaryota; Metazoa; Chordata; Mammalia; Lagomorpha; Leporidae
Description: lncRNA (ENSOCUG00000039556.1)
Source: RNAcentral
AUGGAAGAGUAUAUAAGGGCGGCUCUGCCUCUGGUGGAACGCGAGUGUCCUGUAGAGGAUCGCCCGACGGACGUGCCGUCUAAAUUCUCACCAGAUAGUUUCUCCGAGGACUCCGGUCCUGUGACCAGAACCAAAAUCAGUCAGAAAUAUAUGGCUGUGGUGAACUGGCACGUGGAAAACGGCACCACGUCAGGAAAACCAUGGAUGCAGGAGAACAGCAAGUCUUACCUCAGCUUCAGCUCGACCAAGAACGCCAGGAGCCAAAUCAGGUCGGCCCUGGACAACUUCACCAAGGUCAUGGGCCUGACCAUAAUGGUUCUGGACUGCCUGGUGGGGGUGCUGGCUCUGCCAGACACUGCCAACGGCCGGACCCACCAAAUCCUACAGAUGAGCGGCUGCCAUCGGGCCUGUGCCGGCAGCGUGUGGGCGGCAUGGUGUCCUUGCCAAUACGGCAGACGAAACACCACCUGGUUGUUUGGACCUGUGACCACGCGAAGGAGCAGUAUCGCGGAGGCUACUGCCCGUGCUGCUCCCUGCUAUGGUUGCGCCAAAUGGACAAAUGAGAUCUUUCCCUUCAGGGGCUGCGUCGAGCAGAUGACCAUCUGGUGGGAGGAGGAAAAGAGGACGGCCACGGUGGUGGACGCCGUCAAGGCCACUCCCAGGGGCGGCAAGGUCCGUGCAGACCAAAUAUGCAAAUCCUCCGCUCAGGUGGAACCGACUCCCGCCGUCGCCGUUGCCGUCAUCACUGGCAACGCCGACAUGGGCAUGGGCGCGGUGGCCGAUGGGAAGCCGACAAACUCCCAACACCAGCAACGGCUCCAGGACCAGAGGUCCACGUUUGAACGUACCCGACGUUUGACGCCUGGCUUUGGCGAACGUUUGCCUAAACGAGAAGCCAAAAGCUUUUUCCGUUGGGUUUCCGAUCCCAUGACUGACGUGACUCUUGAGUUCUUCGUCGGGAAGACCGAGUCAGAGGGAAGGCCCGCCCCUUCCGGUGAUGGAAAGAAUAGAAGGCCGGCGGAAAAGCCCGCUCUUGCGUUCGAGCCCCACGUUCCUUCUGCCUCUGGAAGACUUGGCGGAGGAUAAACUCCCUUAUGACUUUGAAGAGUGGCUUGGUCUUGAGUCGGGUACCCCAAAAUUCAAAGCCAAUCAACAGCAUCAAGACUCUGCUAUAGUCUUGAUGUUACCCGGAUGUAAAUAUGUAGGCCCUGUCAAUGGUCCAGACAAGGAAAAGCCUGUCAGUCAGGUAGAGACCACUGUUCUUGCUGCUCUCAGGGUACAACGAGAUAAUCCGUACCUCAAGUACAACCACAUGGACACCUAGUUCCAAGAGGUACUCAAAGACACCUCUUCUAGAGGUGAUCUCAGCAAGGCUGUUUCCCAGGCCAAAAAAGUGGAUAGUGGAAUCCUUCGGUCUGGUUGAGGAAAGCAACAUGGCCCUGGGUAAAAAGAGACCUCUGCCUGAAGAGAAGACUCUAGAACAGGCUCAUGGUUCUGGUCCUGAAAGUCUUAAAAUACUUUUCGAAAAAAGAAGUUAAACACUGUCAAUGCUAGAGCAGUAUCCUCCUCACACGUAGCCUCCUCAGAUGCACCUUAAAUUUGGGCUCUACUACAAUGUCUGCAGGAGGAGGUGUACCAAUGGGUGAUAAUAACCAAGGUACCAUGGUACUCAGAUGGGCACUGAGGUUCCAAAUGGAUGGGGAACACCAUGUCCACCCGAACCUGGGUCCUGUCCAGCUACAACAAUUACCUCUACCAACAAAUCUCCAGUAUCAGAACAGCCAGAAAUGUCAGUGCCCACUUCAGGUGCAGCACCUCCUGGGAAUACUUGAACAGGUUCCACUGCCACUGCAGCCUCCGAGACUGGCAAAGACUCAUCAACAACCACUGGGGAGUCUGUCCCAAGACUCUCAAAGUCAGAGUCUUUAAUAUACAAGUCAAAGAAGUCAUGACUUGCCAACAACCUCACGCCCAUGGUCCACGUCUUUGCUGAUUCUGAGUAUCAGGUCCCCUACCUUCUGGGCAGUGCAACAGGGGGCUGCCUGCCGGUGUUCCUCCAGAGGCCUUUACACUCUUGCAGUGACGAUGACAACACCGACAGUCCUAUAGAUAGAAGCACCCUUUACUCCCUGGUGUACUUUCCUGGCAAGAUGCUGAAGCCCAGCAACAACUCUGAAUUUGCCUUCCAAUUUGAAGAAGUGGCCCUCUAUUCAAGAUUUGUACCCAGUGAGCUUUUCAACAAACUGGCUAAUCUGCAGGUUGAUCAAUACUUGUGGAAGCUGUCAAUUCAGGAACACCCAUCUUCAAAGUUUCCAAUUGGCAAAACAUACCAAAACAGCCUGAGCAGAGCUGUAUAUAAAACACAGGCUCAGAACACUGCCUAAGAACAAAUUUCAACCAAACUGUCAGCAGCAACAAUCGAUUCUUCUGAAUAACUAUAAUUAUACCUCAAAACCAGGACCAGAUAUAAUAGUCACCCAUCAAGACGGAACUAAUUUUGUUCCUAGGACAUCACCAUGAUUUUUCAAUGAUGAUAAGAUUGUACUAAGGGACACACCCUUACUCUUGUUUCUGAGUUACUUAUUACUUGAUGAGAGUGUAACAACAGCCACCAGCCCUCAGGUUUACAACAAUGCUGACAGAGUGACCACCAACAACCAAAGUGUAUCAACAGCUCUUAGAACAGGUCUCUUUAAUCACUGAGGAACCAUACCCGGUCCUGCCUGGAUGUCAUGAGACAUCUAUCAUCAGGGACCUAUUUGAACCAAAAUUCCGAUACCAAAGAACAUUUCCAUCCCAGUCCUCAUUUGGGUGAAUUUGGACUCAAAAAAACCACCACGCAUGUUGCUUAUUAAGAACUGUUCCUGGAAAUGUGACUGCUUUCACAGAUAGGCAAUCUUCUCAUCACCCAGUAUGCAACCAUUUCAGUGCCAAUGGAGAUGACCUAGAGACUCAGGGAAGAAAUUUCUAAGAGGUAGAAUCCAGAGAUGCAGGACACUAACAACUACAAGAGCCCAACCUACGUGGAUUUUGUCCCCUCAGAUCAGGGAGUGUACAGAAGUACCCGAACUACCUAACCAAGCCUUGUAAUUAUGUUUUCAAUAAACCGUUGUAUUCGUUUCA